This 1242-nucleotide ribosomal RNA is filed under the name metagenome. RNAcentral's name for it is "bacterial LSU rRNA". It matches the Rfam family "Bacterial large subunit ribosomal RNA", at positions 1564 to 2815 of the family's 2925-position model. The record is from RNAcentral.
UGAAUACGAGACGCUAAGGCGUCGAAGUAGUGUAUGUCAUACUUCCAAGAAAAGCUUGCACUGUCAUAGAUAAAAAACGCCUGUACCAUAACCGACACAGGUGGGUAGGUAGAGUAUACUAAGGGGCGCGAGAUAACUCUCUCUAAGGAACUCGGCAAAAUAACUCCGUAACUUCGGGAGAAGGAGUGCCUUAUUCGUAAGGUUGCAAUAACAAGAUCCAAGCAACUGUUUAUCAAAAACACAGGUCUCCGCUAAGUCGUAAGACGAUGUAUGGGGGCUGACGCCUGCCCAGUGCCAGAAGGUUAAAGAAGUUGGUUAGCAAUUGCGAAGCUGAUAACUGAAGCCCUGGUGAACGGCGGCCGUAACAAUAACGGUCCUAAGGUAGCGAAAUUCCUUGUCGGGUAAGUUCCGACCCGCACGAAAGGCGUAAUGAUUUGGAUACUGUCUCGGAGAGGGGCUCGGUGAAAUAGACUUGUCUGUGAAGAUGCGGACUACCUGCACCAGGACAGAAAGACCCUAUGAAGCUUUACUGUAACUUGAAAUUGAAAUUGGACUUUAUUCGCGCAGUAUAGGUGGGAGGCGUUGAUUAUAAUCUUGUGGGAUUAUUGGAGCCAUCAGUGAGAUACCACUCUUGUAAUGUUAGAUUUCUAACUUUGAAUCAUUAUCUGGUCAAAGAACAGUUUCAGGCGGGCAGUUUGACUGGGGCGGUCGCCUCCUAAACGGUAACGGAGGCGUACAAAGGUUUCCUCUGAACGGUUAGAAAUCGUAUCUAGAGUGUAAAGGCAUAAGGAAGCUUGACUGUGAGACCUACAAGUCGAGCAGGGACGAAAGUCGGUCUUAGUGAUCUGACGGUACUGAGUGGAAAGGCCGUCACUCAAUGGAUAAAAGUUACUCUAAGGAUAACAGGCUGAUCUCCCCCAAGAGUUCACAUCGACGGGGAGGUUUGGCACCUCGAUGUCGGCUCAUCGCAUCCUGGGGCGGUAGUACGUCCCAAGGGUUGGGCUGUUCGCCCAUGAAAGCGGUACGCGAGCUGGGUUCAGAACGUCGUGAGACAGUUCGGUCCAUAUCCGGUGUAGGCGUUAGAAUAUUGAGAGGAGCCUUCUUUAGUACGAGAGGACCGAGAAGGACAUACCUCUGGUGUACCAGUUAUCGUGCCAACGGUAAACGCUGGGUAGCUAUGUAUGGAGUGGAUAACCGCUGAAAGCAUCUAAGUGGGAAGCCCACCUCAAGAUAAGUAUUCUC